UACGUAGGGGGCUAGCGUUGUCCGGAUUUAUUGGGCGUAAAGAGCGUGUAGGCGGCCAGGUAGGUCCGGUGUGAAAACUCGAGGCUUAACCUCGAGAUGUCAUCGGAAACGAUCUGGCUAGAGUCCGGAAGAGGAGAGUGGAAUUCCUGGUGUAGCGGUGAAAUGCGCAGAUAUCAGGAAGAACACCAAUGGCGAAGGCAGCUCUCUGGGACGGUACUGACGCUGAGACGCGAAAGCGUGGGGAGCGAACAGG
This 253-nucleotide ribosomal RNA is filed under the name uncultured bacterium. RNAcentral's name for it is "partial 16S ribosomal RNA". It matches the Rfam family "Bacterial small subunit ribosomal RNA", at positions 524 to 776 of the family's 1533-position model. The record is from RNAcentral.